AGUGAACGCUGGCGGUAGGCCUAACACAUGCAAGUCGAACGGCAGCACAGUAAGAGCUUGCUCUUACGGGUGGCGAGUGGCGGACGGGUGAGGAAUACAUCGGAAUCUACUUUUUCGUGGGGGAUAACGUAGGGAAACUUACGCUAAUACCGCAUACGACCUACGGGUGAAAGCAGGGGAUCUUCGGACCUUGCGCGAUUGAAUGAGCCGAUGUCGGAUUAGCUAGUUGGCGGGGUAAAGGCCCACCAAGGCGACGAUCCGUAGCUGGUCUGAGAGGAUGAUCAGCCACACUGGAGCUGAGACACGGUCCAGACUCCUACGGGAGGCAGCAGUGGGGAAUAUUGGACAAUGGGGGCAAGACUGAUCCAGCCGUACCGCGUGGGUGAAGAAGGCCUUCGGGUUGUAAAGCCCUUUUGUUGGGAAAGAAAAGCAGCAGGUUAAUACCCCGCUGUUCUGACGGUACCCGAAGAAGAAGCACCGGCUAACUUCGUG
Molecule: ribosomal RNA, 492 nt
Filed under: uncultured bacterium
Lineage: Bacteria
Description: partial 16S ribosomal RNA
Rfam family: Bacterial small subunit ribosomal RNA
Source: RNAcentral